This 520-nucleotide small RNA is filed under the name Histoplasma capsulatum var. duboisii H88. RNAcentral describes it as "Histoplasma capsulatum H88 hypothetical RNA". The record is from RNAcentral. Lineage: Eukaryota; Fungi; Ascomycota; Eurotiomycetes; Onygenales; Ajellomycetaceae.
AUCUCGCACGGAAGCGCCCUUUUUGAGGAAAUGGUGCCAAAAACGGGAAAGGUGUAAGUAACUACAGCGUAACCAAAAAAAAAAUCCUCAGGAAAUUUAUAAAAGUCCUUGGUUGGCUCAACUUCGACUUCUUCUGAAUGAUUGCUUUUUUUUGGUUCAAUUUUUCCUUUCUUUCUUUUUUUCUUCUUCUUCUUUAUGUAUGCAAUCACUGCUUUUUUCCCCUUCUAUUCUUUUGAGCCCUUUUUUUCCAUUAAUUUUCUUUGCUUCUAACUUUCCAGCAGCUAGUUAACCUUAACUUCUUUUAUACUUUUCUUUCUGCUGUUUCGUCAUCAGCCUUAACUCUUGAUCCGACUCUUGGCAUCUUGCGGGUUGGAGGGUGUAUCUUCCGAUCAGAUAGAUGGCUUGCUUCGAGUUGGUUGCAUGGGCAGGGCUUCAGGGAUUUUCUACGAGCUGUUGGUUUUGCUUUGCUAUGAUUAUUGUAUAUAGAGCUUCUUUGUAUUGGUAGAGAACCAUGCCCAAG